GCGUGUUGUUUUGAACGUCCACCUAAUCAGGCUCGAACUCUUAUGCGUCAUAGAAGGCAUUUCUUCCACCAAAGUUUGGUUGACGUGGAAAUAGAGAGUAGGUACUUUAAAUGCCAUCAAACAGUCUUAAGUAAUUAAAUUUCAGAACACCAUGUAAGGCUAUUAAAACAGCAGCAAGGACGGAAAAUGAUUCCCCAACCACCUCACAACUUUUGCCACUCUAGAAAGAAGCAUCUCACACUCCAAGGAACCGUCUUCUCUGGUUUCACCCACCUGAUAUCUUGAAAGGUAUGGAAUCUUUAUUAAAAUAAGAUAGUAUCUAAAUCUCCCCCGUAAUAAGAAGGCAACCUACUGCAUGAAGUUUUUGUGGUUCCAAAUUAAUCGAUGGAGAUUUUAGUGAAUAUUUAAAAGAU
RNAcentral lists this long non-coding RNA (413 nucleotides) under Phoenix dactylifera (date palm). RNAcentral describes it as "long non-coding RNA (PDAC_LNC001237)". Lineage: Eukaryota; Viridiplantae; Streptophyta; Magnoliopsida; Arecales; Arecaceae. The record is from RNAcentral.